GCUGGGUGUGGUGGCGGGCACCUGUAAUCCCAGCUACUUGGGAGGCUGAGACAGGAGAAUUGCUUGAACCCAGGAGGCAGAGGCUGCAGUGAACUGAGAUUGUGCUACUGUACUCCAGCCUGGGCAACAGAGCGAGACUCUGUCUCAA
Molecule: non-coding RNA, 148 nt
Filed under: Nomascus leucogenys (northern white-cheeked gibbon)
Lineage: Eukaryota; Metazoa; Chordata; Mammalia; Primates; Hylobatidae
Source: Rfam by way of RNAcentral